CUACGGGUCGCACCAGUGAGGAAUAUUGCACAAUGGGGGGAACCCUGAUGCAGCAACGCCGCGUGGAGGAUGACGCAUUUCGGUGUGCAAACUCCUUUUAUAUGUCAAGAAAAUGACGGUAGCAUAUGAAUAAGCACCGGCUAACUCCGUGCCAGCAGCCGCGGUAAUACGGAGGGUGCAAGCGUUACUCGGAAUCACUGGGCGUAAAGGACGCGUAGGCGGGUUGGAAAGUCAGGUGUGAAAUCCUACAGCUUAACUGUAGAACUGCACUUGAAACUUCUAAUCUAGAGUAUGGGAGGGGGAGAUGGAAUUAGUGGUGUAGGGGUAAAAUCCGUAGAUAUCACUAGGAACACCUAAAGCGAAGGCGAUCUCCUGGAACAUUACUGACGCUAAGGCGUGAAAGCGUGGGGAGCAAACAGGAUUAGAUACCCCAGUAGUC
Molecule: ribosomal RNA, 439 nt
Filed under: uncultured bacterium
Lineage: Bacteria
Description: partial 16S ribosomal RNA
Rfam family: Bacterial small subunit ribosomal RNA
Source: RNAcentral